RNAcentral lists this ribosomal RNA (690 nucleotides) under uncultured bacterium. RNAcentral describes it as "bacterial SSU rRNA". It matches the Rfam family "Bacterial small subunit ribosomal RNA", at positions 10 to 708 of the family's 1533-position model. The record is from RNAcentral.
AGUUUGAUCAUGGCUCAGGAUGAACGCUAGCGGCAGGCCUAAUACAUGCAAGUCGAACGGUCCUAGCAAUAGGAUAGUGGCGCACGGGUGCGUAACGCGUAACCAACCUACCUGAAUCUGGGGGAUAGCCCGCCGAAAGGCGGAUUAAUACCGCAUAAGACUACAGAGGGGCAUCUCUUAGUAGUUAAAGAUUUAUUGGAUUCAGAUGGGGUUGCGUAGCAUUAGCUAGAUGGCGGGGUAACGGCCCACCAUGGCGACGAUGCUUAGGGGACCUGAGAGGGUGAUCCCCCACACUGGCACUGAGAUACGGGCCAGACUCCUACGGGAGGCAGCAGUAGGGAAUAUUGGGCAAUGGCCGAGAGGCUGACCCAGCCAUGCCGCGUGCCGGAUGAAGGCCUUCUGGGUUGUAAACGGCUUUUCUCAGGGAAGAAAAAGGGGAUGCGUCCCACACUGACGGUACCUGAGGAAUAAGCACCGGCUAACUCCGUGCCAGCAGCCGCGGUAAUACGGAGGGUGCAAGCGUUGUCCGGAUUUAUUGGGUUUAAAGGGUGCGUAGGUGGCUUGUUAAGUCCGGGGUGAAAGCCCACAGCUCAACUGUGGAACUGCCCUGGAUACUGGCAGGCUUGAGAGUCGUCGAGGGUGGCGGAAUGGACGGUGUAGCGGUGAAAUGCAUAGAUACCGUCCAGAACC